This is a long non-coding RNA of Gasterosteus aculeatus aculeatus (three-spined stickleback), 939 nucleotides long. The record is from Ensembl. Lineage: Eukaryota; Metazoa; Chordata; Actinopteri; Perciformes; Gasterosteidae.
GGCACCAAGGAUGGAGCAGUAAACGAGUAGAAAGAGUUUCCCCUCCACCACCCGAAGGCGUAGGGAGGCGACCUUUUUGUCCACCGGGGUAAACUCCAAUGUAGCAGCACUCAGCCGGGGACUUAUGAGUAUCCCCACACCCGCCUGGCGCCUCACACCAUGGGCCACUCCGGAGUAGAAUAGAGUCCACCCCCUAUCCAGGAGUGUGGUUCCAGAGCCGAGGCUGUGCGUAGAGGUAAGCCCCACCAGAUCCAACUGGUACCGCUCCACCUCCCGCACAAGCUCCGGCUCCUUCCCCCCCAGAGAGGUUACGUUCCACGUCCCCAGAGCCAGCAUCUGCCGCCCAGGUCUGUUCCAUCUAGACCCCCCACUGUCACUGCCACCCUUAGCAGCACACCCGACCCCAUCGGUGUCCCCCACAGGUGGUGAGCCCAUGGGGAGUCGAGGUGAUGGUUCCUCAGUUCAUUAAUGUUAAUUCUAACAUUUACCUCACCUAAAAAUGUCUUAUUCAGUUUUCUUUUGGACUGUGUUACUUCUCAUGCAGGGCUAAUCUUGUCAAUCAGACUGGAUUUGUCACAAAGGUCGCAGCGGCGUGGUGGCAUGGCAGGAAGGAGGACCCAAACGUUCCACGCAGAAAAAUACUUACAAAAUUCAAAAAUGCCGAGUGGAAAAACCGCAGACAAGCCGAGGACCAGGACCGCCAAGAACACGUACGACAUUCAAGCAGAACAUACAAUGACGCAACAAAGGACAACCGACACACAUGGCUUUAUUUCACAUUAUUUUUUAUUUUAUUUCUCGUGCACCGUUGUCUGCUGUCAAGUCCGAUUCCUUGUAUGUGUGACAUAUUAUGGCCAUAAAUGUUUCCUGGUCCUCCUGUCAUCAGAGGGGAUGACGGGAGAGGGCAGGAAGUGAAGCUAACCAAGGGACACAAGAGGC